RNAcentral lists this non-coding RNA (21 nucleotides) under Caenorhabditis elegans. Lineage: Eukaryota; Metazoa; Nematoda; Chromadorea; Rhabditida; Rhabditidae. The record is from RNAcentral.
UUUUUGGCCUAUGAUGAUGCA